Long non-coding RNA from Gossypium arboreum, 503 nucleotides. RefSeq lists it as uncharacterized. The record is from RefSeq and is a predicted model, not a curated record. Lineage: Eukaryota; Viridiplantae; Streptophyta; Magnoliopsida; Malvales; Malvaceae. The transcript has 2 exons.
AAAAAGAAUAGAAAUAGAAACAGAAUAGGCAAAACGAAAAGCAGGGAAAGAAAGAAAGAAAGGAGAAAAGAAAGAAGAAAGGGAAAAUUGAAGGUUUGAAGCUUGAGAUUUAAAUAGUGGGACCAUGGAAUACUUCAUGUUUGUUGUAACUAAAGUUAUCUAUAGGUCAAGCUAGUUCGCCCGAAAAAUGGAAGAGUUUGGGCAAAAAUAUAAGUAAAAAAAUGCGAUUGGACAAAAAAAUAAGACCAAUUUAGAAAACGGGUCGAGCUUCAAGUAAGUUUUUUUUAGGGCCUUGCCUGACUUGGCUCAAAUUUGCAAAAAAAAAAACUUGUUGUUUUGCUGUUAUUUUUUUCAUAGUUUUGUUGCUGUUUUUCACUUUUUGCCAUUGUUUUGUUAUCAUUUCACAAUUAUGUUAUUACUAUUUUGUUGUUAAUGUUUGAAUAUUUUGUAACACUUGCUUUAUUGUAAAUUUUGCUAUUAAUUUAGAACCAUUUGCUUAUUAA